AAAUCAAUUGAUGAGAAAAAAACUGCAACAAUAUGAUUGGUUAGUUCCAUGAUUCGUAGUAUUUAAGUCUCCGAUGAUU
Small nucleolar RNA from Cornus florida, 79 nucleotides. RefSeq annotates it as small nucleolar RNA Z199. NCBI's taxonomy places the organism in Eukaryota, Viridiplantae, Streptophyta, Magnoliopsida, Cornales, Cornaceae. The transcript has a single exon. The record is from RefSeq and is a predicted model, not a curated record.